CACGUAGGGGACGAGCGUUGUCCGGAUUCAUUGGGCGUAAAGCGCGCGUAGGCGGCUCGGCAAGUCGGUCGUGAAAUGCCGGGGCUCAACCCCGGGACUGCGUCCGAUACUCCCGAGCUGGAGGCAGGUAGGGGAGAUCGGAAUUCCGGGUGUAGCGGUGGAAUGCGUAGAGAUCCGGAAGAACACCGGUGGCGAAGGCGGCCUGCUGGGGAGUUUAGCUGACACUGAGGCGCGACAGCGUGGGGAGCAAACAGG
This 255-nucleotide ribosomal RNA is filed under the name uncultured bacterium. RNAcentral describes it as "partial 16S ribosomal RNA". It matches the Rfam family "Bacterial small subunit ribosomal RNA", at positions 524 to 776 of the family's 1533-position model. The record is from RNAcentral.